RNAcentral lists this ribosomal RNA (433 nucleotides) under uncultured bacterium. Its description in RNAcentral is "partial 16S ribosomal RNA". It matches the Rfam family "Bacterial small subunit ribosomal RNA", at positions 29 to 507 of the family's 1533-position model. The record is from RNAcentral.
AACGAACGCUGGCGGCAUGCCUAACACAUGCAAGUCGAACGAGACCUCCGGGUCUAGUGGCGCACGGGUGCGUAACGCGUGGGAACCUGCCCUUAGGUUCGGAAUAACUCCCCGAAAGGGGUGCUAAUACCGGAUAAUGUCUUCGGACCAAAGAUUUAUCGCCUUUGGAUGGGCCCGCGUUGGAUUAGCUAGUUGGUAGGGUAAAAGCCUACCAAGGCGACGAUCCAUAGCUGGUCUGAGAGGAUGAUCAGCCACACUGGGACUGAGACACGGCCCAGACUCCUACGGGAAGCAGCAGUGGGGAAUAUUGGACAAUGGGCGAAAGCCUGAUCCAGCAAUGCCGCGUGAGUGAUGAAGGCCUUAGGGUUGUAAAGCUCUUUUACCCGGGAUGAUAAUGACAGUACCGGGAGAAUAAGCUCCGGCUAACUCCGUG